Long non-coding RNA from Osmerus eperlanus (European smelt), 1669 nucleotides. RefSeq lists it as uncharacterized. The transcript has 2 exons. The record is from RefSeq and is a predicted model, not a curated record. NCBI's taxonomy places the organism in Eukaryota, Metazoa, Chordata, Actinopteri, Osmeriformes, Osmeridae.
UUGACCAAUCCCAGCCAGGACAGUCUAACAGUGUCUGCGUGUGGGAGUGACAGUCUAAACAGCUGGAACCUAGAGGAGGGUCCGGGGGAGGAGUCAGAGCUCUUUGAGUAUUCCUAUUGGUCGAGCCAAAUUCCGGUGCUGUCAGGGGCUGUGGCUGGAAGUGAGGCUGGGGCUGGAGGUGAGGCUGGGGCUGGGGCUGGAGGUGAGGCUGGAGGUGGGACUGGGAAGAACCAGAGAGAAGGUAAAGUCCUUCAGAGCCUCUGUCUCCUGGGCAGAGAGGAGGAAAGAGAGAAGAGAGAGGAGGAGAAGGGGAAUGUGAGAGAGGGAAGUGAAGGGAGAGAGAAAAGGGCAGAGAGAGAAGAGGACAGAGAGAAGAGAGAGGAGGAGCGGGGAGAGAAAGAAGUGGAGGAGUCUGUGAGAGAGGAGAAAGAAAGAGGAGAGGAGAGGCCAGAGAGAGAGGAGAGGCCAGAGAGAGAGGAGAGGCCAGAGAGAGAGGAUGAGAGGCCAGAGAUAGAGGAGAGGCCAGAGAGAGAGGCUGAGAGGCCAGAGAGAGAGGAGAGGCCAGAGAGAGAGGAUGAGAGGCCAGAGAGAGAGUAUGAGAGGCCAUCAUGUCCUCCCACUGUGCUGUCGGUCACUGCUCAGUUCCAGUCUCACGACUCCAGGCUAAACCUCCAGAACAAAGCCCAGACCAGGGGCUCGCAUGAGCCCAGCAUGCCCAGCAACAAGCCUCUCAGCCCGGCCACAAUCGAGGUGGGCUCCCCACAAAACAGCAACUCCCAGGCGCCUCUGAAUGACAGGACCACAAGCCAACCAGCAGUCAUCUCACCUAGCCUUAACAAGCCAAUCAGCAUCUCUGCAGAACAGGACGUUCCCACCCCUGUCAAGGUCUCUGAACUGAAGAAGAGAUUUGAAGCCUGAUUGAAACCCAAUGACAAUGCUGACAGUGUCUUAUUUUAGCCUGUGCUUUGCUAGAUAAAAAAAACGGGACUAUUGUUCUGUUUGAUGCUCGUGCCAGUUACCUUUAGACGAAUGCAGUUUGUUAUGCCGGCCACUAGGUGGAGGCAGUGAGAGUAGUGGCCUCAGAUGUACACUGAUUAAAUGAGUGGUAUUUUUGUUUUGGAAAUGAGUACAAGCCAUGAUGUGUCUUUGCUUAGUCAUCUAAGGACUGUGUGUAUCUGUGAGUGUAUGUGUCUGUGAGUGUGUCUGUAGGGGUGUGUGAUUAUGUAAGUGUGCUUGUGUAUGACCAUGACCAGAGUGCUGAUGCACCAGAAUCACUUUGUCAACAGUCCAAGUCCAACACAGGAGAGCUUUUAUUAACAAAUGCAGUUUUUAUUUUCCAGGCAGAAAAAGUGUUAAAAAUCACCUUUUAAGUGAAAAUCAGCCAUGAAGUUUGUAGUUACAACUGAUCUUGUUUCUCACACAUCAAAGAGGUAUUUAGACACAUAGAAAAUGUAACUUUUUUCUCUUACAAUUCUGGGAGUUUAUUUAUAAAAUAAAAUGGUUAACAUUGUGAGAAUCUUCUCAGUUGUUCAGGCUGAAUACAGACAGAAGACUUACAUUCCUAACACGUCUGCCUAACAAAAGUAUGCACAACAUGUAUGUUGUAUGAACUCGUUUUGUCAGCUGCUGCAGCCCAGCUGGGUGGUGUCCUCCCUUGCUCCGAAUGGGA